GAUGAACGCUGGCGGCGUGCCUAAUACAUGCAAGUCGAACGCUGGAGAUCUAGCUUGCUAGAUCGAAGGAGUGGCGAACGGGUGAGUAAUACAUAAGCAACCUACCCACGAAGACUGGGAUAAUCUCUGGAAACGGGGACUAAUACCGGAUAGGUAAUCGGAAGGCAUCUUCUGGUUAUUAAAGGUUAAAAACACUGGUGGAUGGGCUUAUGGCGCAUUAGUUAGUUGGUGAGGUAACGGCCCACCAAGACGAUGAUGCGUAGCCGGCCUGAGAGGGUGAACGGCCACAUGGGGACUGAGACACGGACCAGAGUCCUACGGGAGGCAGCAGUAGGGAAUUUUCGGCAAUGGGGGCAACCCUGACCGAGCAACGCCGCGUGAGUGAAGACGGCCUUCGGGUUGUAAAGCUCUGUUGUAAGGGAAGAACGGUAGAUAGAGAAUAUCUAAGUGACGGUACCUUACCAGAAAGCCACGGCUAACUACGUG
This 486-nucleotide ribosomal RNA is filed under the name uncultured bacterium. Its description in RNAcentral is "partial 16S ribosomal RNA". It matches the Rfam family "Bacterial small subunit ribosomal RNA", at positions 28 to 507 of the family's 1533-position model. The record is from RNAcentral.